This is a non-coding RNA of Triticum urartu, 135 nucleotides long. The record is from Rfam. Lineage: Eukaryota; Viridiplantae; Streptophyta; Magnoliopsida; Poales; Poaceae.
GAAAUACUCCCCUCGUCCCAAAAUUCUUGUCUUAGAUUAGUCUAGAUACGGAUGUAUCUAAUACUAAAAUGUGACUUUAUACGUCCGCAUUUAGACAAAUCUAAGACGAGAAUUUUGGGACGGAGGGAGUAUGUC